GAGACUUCCCAGAGGAAAGACUCAAGGCCAGGAGCUCCUGUCUCACUCAUCCAGGCUUGGGACAAAUGGAAAGCCCUGUGAAUCAGACUGAUGGGCAUUUGCUCCUAGGGAACAGCACAAGCCUGCUUCCCAACUCUUGUCAGCCUGCUUUAAAGCACUGGCUUUCCAGCAAGGCACCACAAUCCUGCCUUCUUCCCCACCUGGGGAGCUCAGACUAAAUGCCAGCAGCAUCCUUCAUGAUCUUUGGUCUUAUCUACUGAUUGGCCAGCGUAGCAUCAUGGAGGCUUUACACAAAGGGGAAUGCUUAGGUUCUAAGUAUGAGAAGAUUCAAGGAUUGGGACAAAAAAAAGCAGACAUAUCUUGCAUACAAUUCAGAAAGAGCCAAGAAAUGGGAAAAGAGGGAAGCAGGGAGAGAUGUGUUUAAUAAGAAAGAUAAGAAUGCAAAGAAGAGGCAAGGAGGGAACCUGGAAGGAAUCCUCUGAACCACAACGGGUAAUGUUGAUCAGACGAAGCUAGCCCAUCUUCAAGUGAGGGAACCUGGAGGAUGGAAAGAUGAGAAGUAACCAAGACAACCUAAAUGAAGGUACAGAAGAGUGGUCCACCCUGAUGAGUAUCCUGAGAGAUGUAAAUGGAGACUCAGAAGAGAUCUACAGACAUGGGACCAUAGUUUCUGAGGCCUCAGACAGAAGUGACAUUGUUCCAAGGUGUCCAGACCAGAGCCUCAACUCCAUGAUCCAGUCUGAGAUUUGUUUGUGGCUAAGAAAUUCACUGUUGUCUACAUCCAGGCUGCAAAAUGUCAAAAGGGGCCCUGCUACCUGUUCCUGAAUGAUAGGAGUGUGUAGAAGAGAAAGGAAGAAAGGAGCUGGGGUAGUCACACCUGUACAUCUUCAAGGCACAGUCAAUCAGCAACCACAAAGAUGCAGCAAAGAACAGGUUACACCUGUUACCUGCUGGCUUCUCCUGGAGAUUCCUUUUUUCCCUGCAGAAGGUGAAAUGGCACAAGAAUUCAGGAGAGAGACAGUGGACUGAGGAGCUGGAAAACAAAUCAAAACAUUGGUGCGAUUAUGGUUCUGUUGUUCUGCUGACACAAACUGAGACUUGGCCUCUGUACAGCACAAUGGUUGGAAGAACAGUUGCUGCAGGAAGACUACCUGGGUCUGAACCCUGGCUUCCCCACUGAGUAGCUGUGUGUCCUUGGGCCUUUAGCCUUUCUGUUAUUUAGGCUUUCAGCUGUUAUUUAGCCUUUCUGAGCUUUGGUUCCUCAUCUGCAAAAUGGGGAUAACAAUAAUAUUGGCUUCAUAGGAUUGCUAUAGGGUUAAAUGAGUGUAUGUAUGUAAACUUAUCCCUAACUUAAAUUAGUGCCUGGCUAAUUAGUAAGAGCUCAGAGAGUGUAAGCAUCAGUGAUGAUGAUAAUGAUGAAGAUACAUAAUGACGAUGAUGAUGGUAGCGAUGGUGAUGAUGGUGAUGGUGAUGAUGAAAAAGAUAAUUGUGGUGGUGGUGAUGGUAGUGAUGAUGGUAAUAAAGGAUUGUUUGGUUUCCAGGGAAGCUCUUCACACCUUCCCAAGCAUAAUUAUCUCCUUUACCCAGCAUUUCUUCCCAAACCACUUCACACAUUCACACACAGACACACACACAGACACACAAUGUCUCAUCAAAGCUAAUAUUUUAAUUAUAGAUGACAAGGCAUUGUAUAUGAACUUAAGAAACACAGGUCAGUCACCUUGAGGCCCCACUGACUCAUUUCAUGUCACCAGAAGAAUCCUUCCACCACUGAAUGACUCACCUCCUCUCCAUCUCCUUACAUGGGAAGAACAAUGCUUCCCUCCUCUCUCAUGGUGCAAGAGUAAGUGGCUUUAUUU
Bos taurus (domestic cattle) is the source of this 1859-nucleotide long non-coding RNA. The record is from Ensembl. NCBI's taxonomy places the organism in Eukaryota, Metazoa, Chordata, Mammalia, Artiodactyla, Bovidae.